This 385-nucleotide ribosomal RNA is filed under the name uncultured bacterium. RNAcentral's name for it is "bacterial SSU rRNA". It matches the Rfam family "Bacterial small subunit ribosomal RNA", at positions 29 to 414 of the family's 1533-position model. The record is from RNAcentral.
ACGAACGCUGGCGGCGUGCUUAACACAUGCAAGUCGAGCGGUAAGGCCCUUUCGGGGGUACGACGAGCGGCGAACGGGUGAGUAACACGUGGGUGACCUGCCCUUAGCUCUGGGAUAAGCCUGGGAAACUGGGUCUAAUACCGGAUAUGACUCCAUGACGCAUGUUGUGGGGUGGAAAGCCUUGUGCGGCUAGGGAUGGGCCCGCGGCCUAUCAGCUUGUUGGUGGGGUGAUGGCCUACCAAGGCGACGACGGGUAGCCGGCCUGAGAGGGCGACCGGCCACACUGGGACUGAGACACGGCCCAGACUCCUACAGGAGGCAGCAGUGGGGAAUCUUGCGCAAUGGGCGAAAGCCUGACGCAGCGACGCCGCGUGAGGGAUGACGG